This 1219-nucleotide long non-coding RNA is filed under the name Anser brachyrhynchus (Pink-footed goose). RNAcentral's name for it is "lncRNA (ENSABRG00000008968.1)". Lineage: Eukaryota; Metazoa; Chordata; Aves; Anseriformes; Anatidae. The record is from RNAcentral.
UUUUUAUACCCUUGAAAAAGCCAGGCCGUUUGCUGGGAUCAAGGUUAUAUAGGAUAGGGCAGAAGAAAGCUCAGCCUCAUAUCUCUUCAUUUUCAAAACCAACCUUGCCAUGCAAGCGACAUAAGGUUUUCGAGAGGAUUCCCACCUUUGUGGCCUCAAAGAAGAGAUUUUCACCCAUAGCUGAAACUUCUCUAAACUCAGCGGCUAUUGGAGGCUCCAGGAGAGGGCAGCAAUGCAGUGCGAGAGGCACCGCUCCAGCACAGAGCAGCCUGGGCAGUCAGGGGGUGAUUUUUUAGCAGAAACGAGCCCUGGGUCCAAAAUCCAAGUAAGUGAAUGGGCUGGCUCUGCUGCCUGGAGUAGAAGAAGCAAGCUCAGAGCAGGUCACGGGUUCAGCUCCAGGUCUCGUGUUUAGUACAGCAGUUUCAGGGGCACUAGGCUGUCCCAAGAAACUUCUUUUGCAGAAAGCGUGGGCUGGAAGCUGUUUGCUGAGGCCCAUUGCCAGCAGCCCAGCUGGCCCAGCAGUGGCCAGCACAUGGACUGGGGGGCGGGGGGGGGGAGUGCCAGAAACUGCCUUAGAGCUGAGAACAGGGAGAAAAACACCGUGGAGGAGAGGCAGAGUAGGGCACAGGUGUAUGUGAUGCCUGAGGGGCGGAGGCUGGCAGAGUUCAGGUGGGAGGUGCAGGCAGGAGAUGCCACUGGCUGGGUAUAAAGCUCCAUGGUGCUACUCCCAGCCUUUUCCCAGCAUCAGGAAUCUUCUAUGGGACUGCAGCAGGUGACUGAAUGCAGCUUUGGCAUCAGCAAGCUGAAGGCUUUGCUGCUGCUUUGCUCCUGAUGGCCCCAAAAUGCAGCCCCCCCCAGCAGCGUGGUACACCAGGUGAACAUGGCCAGGUUGGUCUGCCAGGUGCUGGCACACCUCCUCCCUGUGCUUCAUCCAGGUCUCCUCUCCUUUUUUCUCCUGUCUCUUCUCCCCUUGGCUCCUCAAGACCUAGGUGCUCUUGCCUGUUCCUUCAUUUCAGACAUUAAAAAACAUUUCAGACAUAAACAGUAAAACAUUUAAAAAAAAAAAAACUUAAAUUGAAGUUGAAAUAAUGCUGCUGUGGUCUAACUUUUGUGAUCUCAUUUAUACCUGAGAUCUGUUGGCUCUUUAUUUUUUUUAUAGCCGCUCACUUGUUUUAAAUUAAAUCAUCAGUUAAUAAAAAUAUCAAAUUCUGAUACUGCA